RNAcentral lists this ribosomal RNA (253 nucleotides) under uncultured bacterium. RNAcentral describes it as "partial 16S ribosomal RNA". It matches the Rfam family "Bacterial small subunit ribosomal RNA", at positions 524 to 776 of the family's 1533-position model. The record is from RNAcentral.
UACAGAGGUCUCAAGCGUUGUUCGGAAUCACUGGGCGUAAAGGGUGCGUAGGCCGCACGGUAAGUCAGAGGUGAAAUCCCGGAGCUCAACUUCGGAAUUGCCUCCGAUACUGCCGUGCUUGAGGACUGGAGAGGAGAUUGGAAUUCACAGUGGAGCAGUGAAAUGCGUUGAUAUCGAUAGGAACUCCGGUGGCGAAGGCGGCAUACUGGACCACAUCUGACGCUGAGGCGCGAAAGCCAGGGGAGCAAACGGG